RNAcentral lists this ribosomal RNA (756 nucleotides) under uncultured Methanosarcina sp. RNAcentral describes it as "bacterial SSU rRNA". It matches the Rfam family "Archaeal small subunit ribosomal RNA", at positions 102 to 856 of the family's 1478-position model. The record is from RNAcentral. Lineage: Archaea; Methanobacteriati; Methanobacteriota; Methanomicrobia; Methanosarcinales; Methanosarcinaceae.
GGAUAACCUGCCCUUGGGACCGGCAUAACCCCGGGAAACUGGGGAUAAUUCCGGAUAACGCAUAUUUGCUGGAAUGCUUUAUGCGUCAAAAGGAUUCGUCUGCCCAAGGAUGGGUCUGCGGCCUAUCAGGUAGUAGUGGGUGUAAUGUACCUACUAGCCAGCGACGGGUACGGGUUGUGAGAGCAAGAGCCCGGAGAUGGAUUCUGAGACAUGAAUCCAGGCCCUACGGGGCGCAGCAGGCGCGAAAACUUUACAAUGCGGGAAACCGUGAUAAGGGGACACCGAGUGCCAGCAUCAUAUGCUGGCUGUCCGGAUGUGUAAAAUACAUCCGUUGGCAAGGGCCGGGCAAGACCGGUGCCAGCCGCCGCGGUAACACCGGCGGCCCGAGUGGUGAUCGUGAUUAUUGGGUCUAAAGGGUCCGUAGCCGGUUUGGUCAGUCCUCCGGGAAAUCUGAUAGCUCAACUAUUAGGCUUUCGGGGGAUACUGCCAGACUUGGAACCGGGAGAGGUAAGAGGUACCACAGGGGUAGGAGUGAAAUCUUGUAAUCCCUGUGGGACCACCUGUGGCGAAGGCGUCUUACCAGAACGGGUUCGACGGUGAGGGACGAAAGCUGGGGGCACGAACCGGAUUAGAUACCCGGGUAGUCCCAGCCGUAAACGAUGCUCGCUAGGUGUCAGGCAUGGCGCGACCGUGUCUGGUGCCGCAGGGAAGCCGUGAAGCGAGCCACCUGGGAAGUACGGCCGCAAGGCUGAAACU